This 413-nucleotide unclassified non-coding RNA is filed under the name soil metagenome. RNAcentral describes it as "partial contains 5.8S ribosomal RNA, internal transcribed spacer 2, and large subunit ribosomal RNA". The stretch from base 1 to 120 matches the Rfam family "5.8S ribosomal RNA", at positions 35 to 154 of the family's 154-position model. The record is from RNAcentral.
GAUGAAGAACGCAGCGAAAUGCGAUAAGUAAUGUGAAUUGCAGAAUUCAGUGAAUCAUCGAAUCUUUGAACGCACCUUGCGCUCUUUGGUAUUCCGAAGAGCAUGCCUGUUUGAGAGUCAUGAAAAUAUCAACCUUGACUUGGGUUUUGUGCUCUAGUCUCGGCUUGGAAUUGGGUGCUUGCCGCUUUUACGAGCGGCUCACCUUAAAUGUAUUAGCUGGAUCUGUCUUUGAGACUUGGUUUGACUUGGCGUAAUAAGUAUUUCGCUAAGGACAUUCUUCGGAGUGGCCUCGUUUCUAGGACGCUUGUCCGCUUUCCAAUACAAGUUCCACCUCGUGGACAUGACUUUUUAUUAUCUGGCCUCAAAUCAGGUAGGACUACCCGCUGAACUUAAGCAUAUCAAUAAGCGGAGGA